Molecule: ribosomal RNA, 511 nt
Filed under: uncultured bacterium
Lineage: Bacteria
Description: partial 16S ribosomal RNA
Rfam family: Bacterial small subunit ribosomal RNA
Source: RNAcentral
GACAAACGCUGGCGGUAUGCCUAACACAUGCAAGUCGAACGGACAGACCAGGGAAGCUUUUCGGAGUGGAACUGGAAAGUUAGUGGCGGAUGGGUGAGUAACGCGUGGACAACCUACCUUGUAAAGGGGAAUAACCUCGAGAAAUCGAAGCUAAUACCCCAUAAUAACCUUGCUUCGCAUGAAGUAAGGAGGAAAGGCGGCCUUAGCGCUGUCGAUACAAGAUGGGUCCGCGUCUGAUUAGCUAGUUGGUGAGGUAAAGGCUCACCAAGGCGACGAUCAGUAGCCGGCCUGAGAGGGUGAACGGCCACAUUGGGACUGAGACACGGCCCAAACUCCUACGGGAGGCAGCAGUGGGGAAUCUUCCGCAAAGGGCGAAAGCCUGACGGAGCAAUGCCGCGUGAGUGAAGAAGGCCUUCGGGUUGUAAAACUCUGUCCUUAUCGAAGAGAGAGUGUUGUAGUAACUGACAAUACUAGGACGGUAGAUGAGGAGGAAGCCCCGGCUAACUAUGUG